RNAcentral lists this ribosomal RNA (429 nucleotides) under Bacillota bacterium. RNAcentral describes it as "Firmicutes bacterium partial 16S ribosomal RNA". It matches the Rfam family "Bacterial small subunit ribosomal RNA", at positions 355 to 776 of the family's 1533-position model. Lineage: Bacteria; Bacillati; Bacillota. The record is from RNAcentral.
UGGGGAAUUUUGGACAAUGGGGGCAACCCUGAUCCAGCAAUGCCGCGUGUGUGAAGAAGGCCUUCGGGUUGUAAAGCACUUUUGUCCGGGAAGAAAUCGCACCUGAUAAUACCGGGUGUGGAUGACGGUACCGGAAGGAUAAGGACCGGCUAACUACGUGCCAGCAGCCGCGGUAAUACGUAGGGUCCAAGCGUUAAUCGGAAUUACUGGGCGUAAAGCGUGCGCAGGCGGUUGUGCAAGACCGAUGUGAAAUCCCCGGGCUUAACCUGGGAAUUGCAUUGGUGACUGCACGGCUAGAGUGUGUCAGAGGGGGGUAGAAUUCCACGUGUAGCAGUGAAAUGCGUAGAGAUGUGGAGGAAUACCGAUGGCGAAGGCAGCCCCCUGGGAUAACACUGACGCUCAUGCACGAAAGCGUGGGGAGCAAACAGG